This 346-nucleotide transfer-messenger RNA is filed under the name Deltaproteobacteria bacterium. RNAcentral's name for it is "partial transfer-messenger RNA". It matches the Rfam family "transfer-messenger RNA". Rfam says of the family: Bacterial tmRNA, also known as 10Sa RNA or SsrA, is named for its dual tRNA and mRNA-like properties. Its role is to liberate the mRNA from a stalled ribosome. The record is from RNAcentral. Lineage: Bacteria; Pseudomonadati; Myxococcota; Myxococcia.
GGGGGCGAAUCGGGUUCGACGGGGAUGGAAAGUCGAAGCGGCAUGCCGGGGUCCUGUUGGCCCGUUAAACAAACAGGUCUGCAAAUUAAACGCAGAUAAUUUUGAGUACAAACUGGCUGCCUAAUCGCAGCUAGCGUCCUACCAGUCUUCUCCUGCGGGGUUGGAUAGGGCGUCGAUUAGCGGGAUAGGCUGAUUCUCCUGCCGGAGGGGAUGAGGCCGAGAUUCAAACCGGAUGGCUCGUCAAGACCCUGCCGUUGGGGGCUUGGCGGGCGAGAUCAAAGCAGCGGCUAAGCAUGUAGUCGUAUUCGGUGGAACAUCUUCGGACGGGGGUUCAAUUCCCCCCGCC